GACGAACGCUGGCGGCGUGCCUAACACAUGCAAGUCGAGCGCUGAAGGUUGGUUCUUGUACCGACUGGAUGUGCAGCGAACGGGUGAGUCACGCGUGUGGCAUCUGCCUUUGAGCGGGGUACAACAUGUGGACACGAAUUCUAAUACCACAUAAAAACUUUAAACACAAGGUUUAAGUGUAAAAUUCGCAGUUUCAGCAUUCAAACACGGCCCCGCGGUUUGUUAGUUAGUUGGUGAGGUAACAAGGCACCAAGGCGUGGAUACAUAGACGACCUGAGAGGGUGGGAGGCCACAUUGGGACGGAGAAACGGCCCAAAAUCCUACGGGAGGCAGCAGGAGGGAAUCUUAGGCAAUGGACGAAAGUCUGACCGAGCAACGCCGCGUGAGUGAAGAAGGUUUUCGGAUCGUAAAACUCUGUUGGUAGAGAAGAACGUUGGUGAGAGUGGAAAGCUCAUCAAGUGACGGUAACUACCCAGAAAGGGACGGCUAACUACGUG
RNAcentral lists this ribosomal RNA (497 nucleotides) under uncultured bacterium. RNAcentral's name for it is "partial 16S ribosomal RNA". It matches the Rfam family "Bacterial small subunit ribosomal RNA", at positions 28 to 507 of the family's 1533-position model. The record is from RNAcentral.